Molecule: ribosomal RNA, 497 nt
Filed under: uncultured bacterium
Lineage: Bacteria
Description: partial 16S ribosomal RNA
Rfam family: Bacterial small subunit ribosomal RNA
Source: RNAcentral
GAUGAACGCUGGCGGCGUGCCUAAUACAUGCAAGUCGAGCGAACAGAUGAGGAGCUUGCUCCUCUGACGUUAGCGGCGGACGGGUGAGUAACACGUGGAUAACCUACCUAUAAGACUGGGAUAACUUCGGGAAACCGGAGCUAAUACCGGAUAAUAUAUUGAACCGCAUGGAUCAAUAGUGAAAGACGGUUUUCCUGUCACUUAUAGAUGGAUUCGCGCCGCAUUAGCUAGUUGGUAAGGUAACGGCUUACCAAGGCAACGAUGCGUAGCCGACCUGAGAGGGUGAUCAGCCACACUGGAACUGAGACACGGUCCAGACUCCUACGGGAGGCAGCAGUAGGGAAUCUUGCGCAAUGGGCGAAAGCCUGACGGAGCAACGCCGCGUGAGUGAUGAAGGUCUUCGGAUCGUAAAACUCUGUUAUUAGGGAAGAACAAAUGUGUAAGUAACUAUGCACGUCUUGACGGUACCUAAUCAGAAAGCCACGGCUAACUACGUG